UACGGAGGAUCCGAGCGUUAUCCGGAUUUAUUGGGUUUAAAGGGUGCGCAGGCGGGAGAUUAAGUCGGCGGUGAAAUUUUGCAGCUCAACUGUAAAAGUGCCUUCGAAACUGGUUUCCUUGAGUGUGGAUGAAGUAGGCGGAAUUUGUGGUGUAGCGGUGAAAUGCAUAGAUAUCACGAGGAACUCCGAUUGCGCAGGCAGCUUACUAAACCAUAACUGACGCUCAGGCACGAAGGCGUGGGGAUCAAACAGGAUUAGAUACCCCCGUA
Molecule: ribosomal RNA, 269 nt
Filed under: uncultured prokaryote
Description: partial 16S ribosomal RNA
Rfam family: Bacterial small subunit ribosomal RNA
Source: RNAcentral